GAUGAAGAACGCAGCGAAAUGCGAUAAGUAGUGUGAAUUGCAGACUUCAGUGAAUCAUCGAAUCUUUGAACGCACAUUGCGCCCCUUGGUAUUCCAUUGGGCAUGCCUGUUCGAGCGUCAUCCAAACCCCUCAAGCCUGGCUUGGUGUUGGGCGUCUGUCCCCGCCCCGCGCGGGGACUCGCCCCAAAUCCAUCGGCGGCGGCCCCUCCCGGCUCCCUCGCGCAGCACCAUGCGCCCACGGGAGCCGGGAAGGCCUGCGACCCGCAAGGACGCCCCCUCGUUUUGACCUCGAAUCAGGUAGGGAUACCCGCUGAACUUAAGCAUAUCAAUAAGCGGAGGA
Molecule: unclassified non-coding RNA, 340 nt
Filed under: soil metagenome
Description: partial contains 5.8S ribosomal RNA, internal transcribed spacer 2, and large subunit ribosomal RNA
Rfam family: 5.8S ribosomal RNA (bases 1-120)
Source: RNAcentral